GGGUUGUGAGGUUAAGCGACUAAGCGUACACGGUGGAUGCCCUGGCAGUCAGAGGCGAUGAAGGACGUGCUAAUCUGCGAUAAGCGCCGGUAAGGUGAUAUGAACCGUUAUAACCGGCGAUUUCCGAAUGGGGAAACCCAGUGUGAUUCGUCACACUAUCAUUAACUGAAUCCAUAGGUUAAUGAGGCGAACCGGGGGAACUGAAACAUCUAAGUACCCCGAGGAAAAGAAAUCAACCGAGAUUCCCCCAGUAGCGGCGAGCGAACGGGGAGGAGCCCAGAGCCUGAAUCAGCAUGUGUGUUAGUGGAAGCGUCUGGAAAGGCGCGCGAUACAGGGUGACAGCCCCGUACACAAAAGCGCAUGUGCUGUGAGCUCGAUGAGUAGGGCGGGACACGUGGUAUCCUGUCUGAAUAUGGGGGGACCAUCCUCCAAGGCUAAAUACUCCUGACUGACCGAUAGUGAACCAGUACCGUGAGGGAAAGGCGAAAAGAACCCCGGCGAGGGGAGUGAAAAAGAACCUGAAACCGUGUACGUACAAGCAGUGGGAGCCCCACCACCAAAGCAUUCUCUGGUGUUGAAGGCCCUGCAAAGCAGCAUCGCGGUGGCGGAGCGUCGUUUGCGACGCCCAACACACAAAACAAGCGGUGAGUGCUUUGGGGUGGGGUGACUGCGUACCUUUUGUAUAAUGGGUCAGCGACUUAUAUUCUGUAGCAAGGUUAACCGCA
RNAcentral lists this ribosomal RNA (725 nucleotides) under Salmonella enterica subsp. enterica serovar Tennessee. RNAcentral describes it as "bacterial LSU rRNA". It matches the Rfam family "Bacterial large subunit ribosomal RNA", at positions 1 to 654 of the family's 2925-position model. The record is from RNAcentral. Lineage: Bacteria; Pseudomonadati; Pseudomonadota; Gammaproteobacteria; Enterobacterales; Enterobacteriaceae.